Molecule: ribosomal RNA, 453 nt
Filed under: uncultured Sphingobacteriales bacterium
Lineage: Bacteria; Pseudomonadati; Bacteroidota; Sphingobacteriia; Sphingobacteriales
Description: bacterial SSU rRNA
Rfam family: Bacterial small subunit ribosomal RNA
Source: RNAcentral
CGGAGGAACAUUGUGGUUUAAUUCGAUGAUACGCGAGGUAACCUUACCUGGCUUAAAUGUAGAGUGCAUUUUUUAGAGAUAGAAAUUCCCUUCGGGGCUUUCUGCAAGGUGCUGCAUGGUUGUCGUCAGCUCGUGCCGUGAGGUGUCGGGUUAAGUCCCAUAACGAGCGCAACCCUUAUCGUUAGUUGCCAUCUGGUAAUGCAGGGGACUCUAGCGAAACUGCCACCGUAAGGUGAGAGGAAGGUGGGGAUGACGUCAAAUCAGCACGGCCCUUAUGUCCAGGGCUACACACGUGUUACAAUGGCCGGCACAGAGGGCAGCUACCUGGUGACAGGAUGCUAAUCUCGAAAACCGGUCUCAGUUCGGAUCGAAGUCUGCAACUCGACUUCGUGAAGCUGGAUUCGCUAGUAAUCGCGCAUCAGCCAUGGCGCGGUGAAUACGUUCCCGGGCCUU